GACGAACGCUGGCGGCGUGCUUAACACAUGCAAGUCGAACGGAAAGGCCUGCUUUCCCUUGUGGAUUGCGGGUACUCGAGUGGCGAACGGGUGAGUAACACGUGAGUGAUCUGCACCCAACUUGGGUAUAAGCCUGGGAAACUGGGUCUAAUUCCCGAUAGGACUGCAGGGUGGUGCCUGUGGUGGAAAACGAUUUUCUAGUGGUUGGGGAUGAGCUCGCGGCCUAUCAGCUUGUUGGUGGGGUAAUGGCCUACCAAGGCGGCGACGGGUAGCCGGCCUGAGAGGGUGGACGGCCACAUUGGGACUGAGAUACGGCCCAGACUCCUACGGGAGGCAGCAGUGGGGAAUAUUGCACAAUGGGCGGAAGCCUGAUGCAGCGACGCCGCGUGGGGGAUGACGGCCUUCGGGUUGUAAACUCCUUUCGACCGCGAGGAAGCCACCUGGUUGGAAGGGUGGUGACGGUAGUGGUAGAAGAAGCACCGGCUAACUACGUG
This 494-nucleotide ribosomal RNA is filed under the name uncultured bacterium. Its description in RNAcentral is "partial 16S ribosomal RNA". It matches the Rfam family "Bacterial small subunit ribosomal RNA", at positions 28 to 507 of the family's 1533-position model. The record is from RNAcentral.